AUGGUACUCCCACCAACAGAACCAACCGACACGAAGAAACAAGCUGAACGCAAGAAGAAAAACAAACGGCAAAGGGUAGAAAAAGAACAAGACGAUACCAACAGCAAAGGUUCAGAUACCAAUGACGACGACGAUGACAGACAGCAUGAUGCAGAUUUCAUUCCUAUAGACAGCGAUGAUGCCGAAGAGCACGACAGCGACCCAGAUCAUGACGACGAUCCCAAAUCAGGCAAGAAGUACAGAAAGAGAAGAAAGACAAGCGGGAAAGAACUGGUAGUACCAACAGUUGAUGAAGAACAGCAAGAAACAGACGAAGAGAAAUGCCAAAUCAAGGCAGGGGCAGCAUUCGCCCAUUUGUACGGGUUCACGACUAGUUUACUUAAAGACCGUCACAAGAAAGAUAUUAGGACGGCAGGAUUUGGCAGCAUAGAGAACUGCAAAAUAACGGGCUCCAUCUGCAGACCACUUGCAGCACACAUCUACGACAACCUCAACACAGAAACCAUGACAAUAACCUUCGGUGAUGCUACUGAAGACAAAAAAUCAAGAUUACCAAGGAAUCUACCCACAAGGUGUUUGGAUACACAAAUGGCACGCAAAGGUCAGCACCAAGGCCAGAGACUAGCCCGGCUUCAAUGA
This 639-nucleotide ribosomal RNA is filed under the name Triticum aestivum (bread wheat). RNAcentral describes it as "partial small subunit ribosomal RNA". The record is from RNAcentral. Lineage: Eukaryota; Viridiplantae; Streptophyta; Magnoliopsida; Poales; Poaceae.